CGCGCAUUGAGCCUUUCCUUCAAGAACUCGAAAAGAAUCUGACAAUCAUAUCAAACACUGUUAAUGAAAGAGUCCGGACUCGGAUGGUUGCGGACAUAAUGAGAGCAUCCUUUGAUGGUUUCCUUUUGGUUUUGCUUGCUGGAGGACCUUCUAAGGCUUUCACUCAGCAGGAUUCACAAAUUAUAGAGGACGAUUUCAAGUCCCUCAAAGAUGUAUUCUGGGCAAAUGGGGAUGGAUUGCCCGUGGAUGUGAUAACCAAAUACUCAACAACAGUAAGGGAUGUACUUCCUCUUUUGAUUUUCCUUUGAUGGUUUCCUUUUGGUUUUGCUUGCUGGAGGACCUUCUAGGGCUUUCACCCAGCAGGAUUCACAAAUUAUAGAGGACGAUUUCAAGUCCCUCAAAGAUGUAUUCUGGGCAAAUGGGGACGGAUUGCCUGUGGAUGUGAUAAACAAAUACUCAACCACAGUAAGGGAUGUACUUCCUCUUUUCCGGGCUGAUGCAGAGAGCCUCAUCGAGCGCUUCAGGCGAUUAACUUUGGAAACUUAUGGUUCAUCCGCAAAAUCGAGGCUUCCGUUGCCGCCUACAUCAGGGCAAUGGAACCCAACUGAACCAAACACCC
RNAcentral lists this long non-coding RNA (619 nucleotides) under Nicotiana benthamiana. RNAcentral's name for it is "long non-coding RNA (NBEN_LNC028361)". The record is from RNAcentral. Lineage: Eukaryota; Viridiplantae; Streptophyta; Magnoliopsida; Solanales; Solanaceae.